CCUACGGGAGGCAGCAGUGGGGAAUAUUGCACAAUGGGCGAAAGCCUGACGCAGCGACGCCGCGUGAGGGAUGAAGGUCUUCGGAUCGUAAACCUCUGUCAGCAGGGAAGAACGGUCACUGUGCUAAUCAGCAGUGAAUUGACGGUACCUGAAAAGGAAGCACCGGCUAACUCCGUGCCAGCAGCCGCGGUAAUACGGAGGGUGCGAGCGUUCAUCGGAAUUACGGGGCGUAAAGCGCUCGUAGGCGGUAUGUCAAGGCAAGGGUGAAAUCCCCGCGCUCAACGUGGGAACGGCCUUUGAAACUGGCAAACUGGAGUGUGUGAGAGGAUAGUGGAAGUGCAGGGGGAGGAGUGAAAUCCGUAGAUAUCUGGAGGAACAUCAGUGGCGAAGGCGACUAUCUGGCACAUAACUGACGCUGAGGAGCGAAAGCGUGGGUAGCAAACAGGAUUAGAUACCCGAGUAGUC
RNAcentral lists this ribosomal RNA (465 nucleotides) under uncultured bacterium. RNAcentral's name for it is "partial 16S ribosomal RNA". It matches the Rfam family "Bacterial small subunit ribosomal RNA", at positions 338 to 795 of the family's 1533-position model. The record is from RNAcentral.